Molecule: non-coding RNA, 443 nt
Organism: Meleagris gallopavo (turkey)
Lineage: Eukaryota; Metazoa; Chordata; Aves; Galliformes; Phasianidae
Source: RefSeq, a predicted model, not a curated record
UGCUUGCAUUCCACACAGCAAACAGCAAUGGAACAUCUUUCAUUCACUUGACUUGUUUGCAAAUCUUUGAGGGUGGCUCACGAGGAAUGCGGUGGCCUGGCUGAAUCCUCACUCCAUUGAUACUUUUCUCAGAAGGGCCAUCCAGAGCUGUGUUUACCACGCAGUCAUCCCACAGCCCCACAGGAGGACGUGACAUUCCUGGCUUCUCGGCUGCCUGGCUCUGCUCAGCCUUGCUGGGACAAGUCCUUCCUCUUCGCUGCGAAUGGCUCUAUAUUUCGUCUGGAGUGACACCUGAUUUGGAGAAGCUGAGCUGAUUUCCCUGGAAAACCAAGCUUUCUGGGUCUGAUUUCCCUAUGAAGACAAACAGAGAGAGCUAGAGCUGUUCAGCCUGGAGAAGAGAAGGCUCCAAGGAAGACCAGAGAUCAGCCUUUCAGUAUCUGAAG